Molecule: non-coding RNA, 67 nt
Filed under: Sus scrofa (pig)
Lineage: Eukaryota; Metazoa; Chordata; Mammalia; Artiodactyla; Suidae
Source: RNAcentral
UCAGCUUCGGGCCUAGAUCCUGGCCUUUGGGAUUCAGCUUGAUGGUCGGGCUCUCCCGGAGCAGAGG